Molecule: long non-coding RNA, 264 nt
Organism: Humulus lupulus (European hop)
Lineage: Eukaryota; Viridiplantae; Streptophyta; Magnoliopsida; Rosales; Cannabaceae
Exons: 3
Source: RefSeq, a predicted model, not a curated record
UCAAAAUUCUUGUUCACUAAUGGUGCCUCCUAUGUUUGGGAUCCAAGAAAAUGGUGCUCAUUUGGCUGUGGUGGGUCCUGGGAGGGAAGCUGCAUCUGCAAAGUACUCUGAUUGGAAUUUGGAAAUAUCUUGUCUUGAAAAGAAUUUGGAUAUGAGACUCGGUGUAGUCACCAAAGAAACUAAACCUGGUCUAACUGGUUGUUGAGAUCAUCUGCACUUUGGUCAGGAAAUUAUCUCCUAAUCCUAAUAGUGCUGCUAUAAUGG